AAUGAACGCUGGCGGCGUGCCUAACACAUGCAAGUCGGACGAGAAAGGCCGCAAGGCUGAGUAAAGUGGCGCACGGGUGAGUAAUACGUGGGAAUCUACCCUUUGGAGAAGAAUACCUCCGAGAAAUCGGGGCUAAUACUGCAUAAGUCUAGUAAUAGAGAAAGGUGGCCUAAAAGCUACCGCCGAAAGGAUGAGCCCGCGGCCUAUUAGUUAGUUGGUGAGGUAAAGGCUCACCAAGACGAAGAUGGGUAGCCGGCCUGAGAGGGCGAUCGGCCACACUGGAACUGAAACACGGUCCAGACUCCUACGGGAGGCAGCAGUGGGGAAUAUUGCACAAUGGGCGCAAGCCUGAUGCAGCGACGCCGCGUGGAGGAGUGAAGGUUUU
RNAcentral lists this ribosomal RNA (385 nucleotides) under uncultured bacterium. RNAcentral's name for it is "bacterial SSU rRNA". It matches the Rfam family "Bacterial small subunit ribosomal RNA", at positions 29 to 418 of the family's 1533-position model. The record is from RNAcentral.